Molecule: long non-coding RNA, 1627 nt
Organism: Salmo salar (Atlantic salmon)
Lineage: Eukaryota; Metazoa; Chordata; Actinopteri; Salmoniformes; Salmonidae
Source: RefSeq, a predicted model, not a curated record
CUAUAGCAUAAUGAGUAGUAUCAGUUAUACACUAGUUACACUAUAGCAUAAUGAGUAGUAUCAGUUAUACACUAGUUACACUAUAGCAUAAUGAGUAGUAUCAGUUAUACACUAGUUACACUAUAGCAUAAUGAGUAGUAUCAGUUAUACACUAGUUACACUAUAGCAUAAUGAGUAGUAUCAGUUGUUUUGAAGUUUAGGCUUUUUCCAAAGUGUUCCGAUAACAUUGACAUGUCCAUGUUUUUGAACAAUGCAGAAAUAUCUAGCAAUACAAUAAUAACAAUACAAACAUAAUAACUAUAUAUAAGAGGGAAAUGAAGAAAUCAUAAAGAGUAAUAUCAGAGUCCGGCAGUCAUGUGGGGCCCCCGUGUUGAGGAUCAGCACGGUGGAGAGUUUGUUAUAUAUUAGUAUGAUGCCUCCAGUUUAUCUUCGUCAUGCCGUUCCAUUAAUACAGAGGCUUAGUCUGAAUAGUCUUUGUGGAUUCCCUUGGCCUCCCUUUCACUUGCCUGGUCCUGACUUUGAAACCUGAAGACUGAAAACAACAAAAGAACAAAGCCAUUUAAAAGGUUAUUGUUUUAUUUUAUUAUUGCUUUUUACUGGACUGGGACAGGCUGUUUUAUCUUUUCAUAUUUUUGUUAGAGGGACCAAUAAAUGAUCAAGUUUUCAUCAAGUCUAUAUUCAUCAAUUUUUGACCUAAGGAAGUACACUGCUUUAAUCCACGAUUUGAAAGUAGAAAAUAAGAUAUUGUUGAAAAGGAUGAGUUUCACUGGAUCAAAAGGUGAUGCUAAUGUAUGUUUCCAGCAGCAGUGUCCCUAAUGCUGCAGGGUCUCAUCGUUCCUUCUCUAUGUUGGACUGAACUGUUUCAUCUCUUCACAAGUGAAUUCCCCAAAGCCCUAAAGUAUGACAGGAGCAGAGGUGUUCACCCAGAGGAGACCAUCUACAGUAUGACAGGAGCAGAGUUGUUCACCCAGAGAAGGAGACCAUCUACAGUAUGACAGGAGCAGAGGUGUUCACUUGAGGAGUCUUCUCGGUCAAGAUAAGAUUUCCUGCUUGCCAUACUAGAGGGAGAUACUGGUUAUCUUUCAACUCCACACCAUGGGAUGAUUGACCUGGAUCUUAACCAGAACAGACUUCACCAGACACAGUAGAAGUGAGGUCACAGGAAACAGACUGAUUUGUGAAGAGGGACUACAUCACCCAGAAAGCAUUGUCCCUGGAGGCCAGAGCUUUGUUGGAUGUAAUGCCUUGUUCUCAACCUCUGAUUGUUCGGAAAUAAGACUUGUAAACUCGGUGCGUCAAGUUGUGUGCAUUCACGUACCUUGAACCAAGGUCAACCAAAGUACCGAGGUCAACCAUAAACUAACAGUACAGCUAUCAUGCUGGUAUGAAACCGCAGUUGAAAAUAGGUUUUCUAGAUCAGUCCAAACAUUCCUCCUGACUGUUAUAAUCAACAUGUUUGAAUGCUAAAAUGAUAUGGGAUGUUUUUCUAUUGCAACGCUUGAAUCACGUUCAUAUUUUUGGUUAUAACCUGCACAACUUUUCAGCUCUUGGUUGUUUGCUUUUAAAAAUACUUUUUAGUACUAACUUUUGUUUGUUUACAUUAAACUACUAGUUUUUGUUGUUUCCA